RNAcentral lists this ribosomal RNA (468 nucleotides) under uncultured bacterium. Its description in RNAcentral is "partial 16S ribosomal RNA". It matches the Rfam family "Bacterial small subunit ribosomal RNA", at positions 28 to 507 of the family's 1533-position model. The record is from RNAcentral.
GACGAACGCUGGCGGCGUGCUUAACACAUGCAAGUCGAACGGAAAGGCCCUGCUUUUGUGGGGUGCUCGAGUGGCGAACGGGUGAGUAACACGUGGGUAACCUGCCCUUGACUUUGGGAUAACUUCAGGAAACUGGGGCUAAUACCGGAUAGGAGCUCCUGCUGCAUGGUGGGGGUUGGAAAGUCUCGGCGGUUGGGGAUGGACUCGCGGCUUAUCAGCUUGUUGGUGGGGUAGUGGCUUACCAAGGCUUUGACGGGUAGCCGGCCUGAGAGGGUGACCGGCCACAUUGGGACUGAGAUACGGCCCAGACUCCUACGGGAGGCAGCAGUGGGGAAUAUUGCACAAUGGGCGGAAGCCUGAUGCAGCAACGCCGCGUGCGGGAUGACGGCCUUCGGGUUGUAAACCGCUUUCGCCUGUGACGAAGCGUGAGUGACGGUAAUGGGUAAAGAAGCACCGGCUAACUACGUG